This 296-nucleotide long non-coding RNA is filed under the name Hordeum vulgare. Its description in RNAcentral is "long non-coding RNA (HVUL_LNC007895)". Lineage: Eukaryota; Viridiplantae; Streptophyta; Magnoliopsida; Poales; Poaceae. The record is from RNAcentral.
AACCAGAGGGUUUUAUCCGCAUAGACAAGUUGGCUCAUCUAGGAUUUUUAGCUUAUACGAUCUUGAGGUAGAUCAACUCUAUAAUUUUCAUACACAAGACAUAGUGUUUUACCUCCUCAAGAGGGAUCUUGAGGUAGAUCAACUCUAUAAUUUUCAUACAAGACAUAGUGUUUUACCUCCUCAAGAGGGUCCGAAUCUACUUAAAACACCGUCUCAUCGAUCCAAGGUCCAUAGCUCGAGAGCCUAUACCCGAGAUCUGUCGGUUUUAACACCAACACCAGGCAAACAAUUUGGAU